AGAGUUUGAUCCUGGCUCAGGAUGAACGCUGGCGGCGUGCUUAACACAUGCAAGUCGAGCGAAGCACUUAAGUUUGAUUCUUCGGAUGAAGACUUUUGUGACUGAGCGGCGGACGGGUGAGUAACGCGUGGGUAACCUGCCUCAUACAGGGGGAUAACAGUUAGAAAUGACUGCUAAUACCGCAUAAGACCACAGGGUCGCAUGACCCGGUGGUAAAAACUCCGGUGGUAUGAGAUGGACCCGCGUCUGAUUAGCUAGUUGGUGGGGUAACGGCUCACCAAGGCGACGAUCAGUAGCCGACCUGAGAGGGUGACCGGCCACAUUGGGACUGAGACACGGCCCAAACUCCUACGGGAGGCAGCAGUGGGGAAUAUUGCACAAUGGGGGAAACCCUGAUGCAGCGACGCCGCGUGAAGGAUGAAGUAUUUCGGUAUGUAAACUUCUAUCAGCAGGGAAGAAAAUGACGGUACCUGACUAAGAAGCCCCGGCUAACUACGUGCCAGCAGCCGCGGUAAUACGUAGGGGGCAAGCGUUAUCCGGAUUUACUGGGUGUAAAGGGAGCGUAGACGGCAUGGCAAGUCUGAAGUGAAAGCCCGGGGCUCAACCCCGGGACUGCUUUGGAAACUGUCAGGCUAGAGUGCUGGAGAGGUAAGUGGAAUUCCUAGUGUAGCGGUGAAAUGCGUAGAUAUUAGGAGGAACACCAGUGGCGAAGGCGGCUUACUGGACAGUGACUGACGUUGAGGCUCGAAAGCGUGGGGAGCAAACAGGAUUAGAUACCCUGGUAGUCCACGCCGUAAACGAUGACUACUAAGGUGGCGGGUAACAAAGCUAUUCG
Molecule: ribosomal RNA, 835 nt
Filed under: uncultured bacterium
Lineage: Bacteria
Description: bacterial SSU rRNA
Rfam family: Bacterial small subunit ribosomal RNA
Source: RNAcentral